RNAcentral lists this ribosomal RNA (441 nucleotides) under uncultured bacterium. RNAcentral's name for it is "partial 16S ribosomal RNA". It matches the Rfam family "Bacterial small subunit ribosomal RNA", at positions 338 to 795 of the family's 1533-position model. The record is from RNAcentral.
CCUACGGGAGGCUGCAGUGGGGAAUAUUGCACAAUGGGGGAAACCCUGAUGCAGCAACGCCGCGUGGGUGAAGGAGCGUUUCGGCGCGUAAAGCCCUGUCAGCGGGGAAGAAGAAAGACGGUACCCGACCAAGAAGCCCCGGCUAACUACGUGCCAGCAGCCGCGGUAAUACGUAGGUGGCAAGCGUUGUCCGGAAUUACUGGGUGUAAAGGGAGCGCAGGCGGGAAGCCAAGUCAGCUGUGAAAACUACGGGCUUAACUUGUAGACUGCAGUUGAAACUGGUUUUCUUGAGUGAAGUAGAGGUUGGCGGAAUUCCGAGUGUAGCGGUGAAAUGCGUAGAUAUUCGGAGGAACACCGGUGGCGAAGGCGGCCAACUGGGCUUUAACUGACGCUGAGGCUCGAAAGUGUGGGGAGCAAACAGGAUUAGAUACCCCAGUAGUC